CACAGUGAGACCUCCUCUCUAUUAUUAACAUAAUAAUAAUAAUAAAGAAAUUGAAAAAAAGAAAGCACCACUGCAAAUAUUCCAGUUGAUUCGCCCUGCCCUCAAAAGACAUGUGUCACACCAAGCAACUAACACCCAUGUUGUAACUGCCCCAGAGGAAAGACGUUCAACGGCUGAGGAGACCACAGCGGCAACUAGGUCACUUCCUAUUCGAAGAAAAAGGAGGAGAUGCCAUCUGGCAAAUUCGAGGUCCUUCCAAAGUGCCUACGGAAAGCUUUGUCCCAUCCUUGAAAAAUUGCUAAUGGGUUUGGAGAUACGAGGUGGAGAUGACUAGCAAUCAAACUCAAAGGUGGAAGUCACAUCGAGGCAGAUGAGCAGAUGAGGGGACCUAGAGAAGAAGAGAGGUGCAAGGAGAGCCCAGCCAGCAGGAACAUCUGCCCCAGUAGGCAGCACUGCCCCACAUCAGAGUCGAGGAAAGCAAAGCUCGGAUUGGAUAAAAGAAACUUGCAAACACGGUCAGUGCUUACUGCAUGUGGGCUCAGAGCACGUUACCCUCCUUCCCUGCAUGUUCCUGUGAAACGGGUUUACUGCUCUAACUCUCAGGGACACUGUGAAGACCAAACGAGAAAAUAGAAACAAACAUAAUUUAUAAACCAUAAAGUACUGACACCAAAAGAGGGGCGAGCACAGCAUUGUGAAUGUGCUGGUACUAAAUGGUUUGUUUUAAGAUGAUUUUAUGGUGUGUGAAUUUCACUUGAAUAAAUUUUUUUAAUGGAGUUCA
RNAcentral lists this long non-coding RNA (781 nucleotides) under Homo sapiens (human). RNAcentral describes it as "HSALNT0350545". The record is from RNAcentral. Lineage: Eukaryota; Metazoa; Chordata; Mammalia; Primates; Hominidae.